This 414-nucleotide ribosomal RNA is filed under the name uncultured microorganism. Its description in RNAcentral is "bacterial SSU rRNA". It matches the Rfam family "Archaeal small subunit ribosomal RNA", at positions 459 to 872 of the family's 1478-position model. The record is from RNAcentral.
CAGCAGCCGCGGUAAUACCGGCGGCCCGAGUGGCGGUCACUAUUAUUGGGCUUAAAGCGUCCGUAGCCGGGUUGGGAAGUCCUCCGGGAAAUCUGGCCGCUUAACGGUCAGAAUGCCGGAGGAUACUCCCAGCCUAGGGAGCGGGAGAGGCCGAGGGUAUUCCCGGGGUAGGGGGGAAAUCCUAUAAUCCCGGGAGGACCACCUGUGGCGAAGGCGCUCGGCUGGAACGCGUCCGACGGUGAGGGACGAAGGCCAGGGGAGCAAACCGGAUUAGAUACCCGGGUAGUCCUGGCGGUAAACGAUGCGGACUUUGUGUCGGACAAGCUAUGAGCUUGUCCGGUGCCGGAGGGAAACCGUUAAGUCCGCCGCCUGGGGAGUACGGCCGCAAGGCUGAAACUUAAAGGAAUUGGCGGG